RNAcentral lists this ribosomal RNA (468 nucleotides) under uncultured bacterium. Its description in RNAcentral is "partial 16S ribosomal RNA". It matches the Rfam family "Bacterial small subunit ribosomal RNA", at positions 28 to 507 of the family's 1533-position model. The record is from RNAcentral.
GACGAACGCUGGCGGCGUGCUUAACACAUGCAAGUCGAACGGAAAGGCCCUGCUUUUGUGGGGUGCUCGAGUGGCGAACGGGUGAGUAACACGUGAGUAACCUGCCCUUGACUUUGGGAUAACUUCAGGAAACUGGGGCUAAUACCGGAUAGGAGCUCCUGCUGCAUGGUGGGGGUUGGAAAGUUUCGGCGGUUGGGGAUGGACUCGCGGCCUAUCAGCUUGUUGGUGGGGUAGUGGCUUACCAAGGCUUUGACGGGUAGCCGGCCUGAGAGGGUGACCGGCCACAUUGGGACUGAGAUACGGCCCAGACUCCUACGGGAGGCAGCAGUGGGGAAUAUUGCACAAUGGGCGGAAGCCUGAUGCAGCAACGCCGCGUGCGGGAUGACGGCCUUCGGGUUGUAACCCGCUUUCGCCUGUGACGAAGCGUGAGUGACGGUAAUGGGUAAAGAAGCACCGGCUAACUACGUG